UUACGCGCCAGCGGUUCGGCCGGGCCCCCAA
Molecule: unclassified non-coding RNA, 31 nt
Filed under: Canis lupus familiaris (dog)
Lineage: Eukaryota; Metazoa; Chordata; Mammalia; Carnivora; Canidae
Description: RNA Expansion segment ES9 from Canis lupus familiaris (PDB 4V5Z, chain AF)
Source: RNAcentral